GCGCAGCAGGCGCGAAACCUUCACAAUGCCCGAAAGGGCGAUGAGGGGACGCUGAGUGCCCUUCGGGGCUGUUCGGGUGCCUAAAAGCACCCGGAGUAAGGGCUGGGUAAGACCGGUGCCAGCCGCCGCGGUAAUACCGGCAGCCCGAGUGGUGGCCGCGUUUAUUGGGCCUAAAGGGUCCGUAGCCGGUCGGGUAAGUUCUUCGGGAAACCUCGCCGCUCAACGGUGAGGCUUCCGGGGAAAACUGCCCGACUUGGGACC
This 261-nucleotide ribosomal RNA is filed under the name uncultured microorganism. RNAcentral describes it as "partial 16S ribosomal RNA". It matches the Rfam family "Archaeal small subunit ribosomal RNA", at positions 330 to 600 of the family's 1478-position model. The record is from RNAcentral.